CAAUAGCGUAUAUUUAAGUUGUUGCAGUUAAAAAGCUCGUAGUUGGAUUUCGGAUGGGACUUGCCGGUCCGUCGUUUCGAUGUGCACUGGCCAGUCCUAUCUUGUUGUCGGGGACUAGCUCCUGGGCUUCACUGUCCGGGACUAGGAGCUGACGAGGUUACUUUGAGUAAAUUAGAGUGUUCAAAGCAAGCCUACGCUCUGAAUACAUUAGCAUGGAAUAACACGAUAGGACUCUGGCUUAUCUUGUUGGUCUGUGAGACCAGAGUAAUGAUUAAGAGGGACAGUCGGGGGCAUUCGUAUUUCAUUGUCAAAGGUGAAAUUCUUGGAUUUAUGAAAGACGAACUUCUGCGAAAGCAUUUGUCAAGGAUGUUUUCAUUAA
This 379-nucleotide ribosomal RNA is filed under the name uncultured eukaryote. RNAcentral's name for it is "partial 18S ribosomal RNA". It matches the Rfam family "Eukaryotic small subunit ribosomal RNA", at positions 592 to 976 of the family's 1831-position model. The record is from RNAcentral.